CGCCUGGGGAGUGCGGCCGCAAGGCUAAAACUCAAAGGAAUUGACGGGGCCCCGCACAAGCGGCGGAGCAUGCGGAUUAAUUCGAUGCAACGCGUAGAACCUUACCUGGGUUUGACAUGGAUCGGGAGUGCUCAGAGAUGGGUGUACCUCUUUUGGGGUCGGUUCACAGGUGGUGCAUGGCUGUCGUCAGCUCGUGUCGUGAGAUGUUGGGUUAAGUCCCGCAACGAGCGCAACCCUUGUUCACUGUUGCCAGCACGUUAUGGUGGGGACUCAGUGGAGACCGCCGGGGUCAACUCGGAGGAAGGUGGGGAUGACGUCAAGUCAUCAUGCCCCUUAUGUCCAGGGCUUCACGCAUGCUACAAUGGCUGGUACAGAGAGUGGCGAGCCUGUAAGGGUGAGCGAAUCUCGGAAAGCCGGUCUCAGUUCGGAUUGGGGUCUGCAACUCGACCUCAUGAAGUCGGAGUCGCUAGUAAUCGCAGAUCAGCAACGCUGCGGUGAAUACGUUCCCGGGGCUUGUACACACCGCCCGUCAAGUCAUGAAAGUUGGUAACACCCGAAGCCGGUGGCCUAACCGUUGUGGGGGAGCCGUCGAAGGUGGGACUGGUGAUUAGGACUAAGUCGUAACAAGGUAACCGUA
This 637-nucleotide ribosomal RNA is filed under the name uncultured Propionibacterium sp. RNAcentral's name for it is "bacterial SSU rRNA". It matches the Rfam family "Bacterial small subunit ribosomal RNA", at positions 870 to 1504 of the family's 1533-position model. Lineage: Bacteria; Bacillati; Actinomycetota; Actinomycetes; Propionibacteriales; Propionibacteriaceae. The record is from RNAcentral.